RNAcentral lists this ribosomal RNA (254 nucleotides) under uncultured bacterium. RNAcentral describes it as "partial 16S ribosomal RNA". It matches the Rfam family "Bacterial small subunit ribosomal RNA", at positions 524 to 776 of the family's 1533-position model. The record is from RNAcentral.
UACGUAGGGGGCGAGCGUUGUCCGGAUUUAUUGGGCGUAAAGAGCUCGUAGGCGGUUGGGUAAGUCGGGUGUGAAAACUCCAGGCUCAACUUGGAGACGCCACCCGAUACUGCUCUGACUUGAGUUCGGUAGGGGAGUGGGGAAUUCCUGGUAUAGCGGUGAAAUGCGCAGAUAUCAGGAGGAACACCGGUGGCGAAGGCGCCACUCUGGGCCGAAACUGACGCUGAGGAGCGAAAGCGUGGGUAGCAAACAGG